This 253-nucleotide ribosomal RNA is filed under the name uncultured bacterium. RNAcentral describes it as "partial 16S ribosomal RNA". It matches the Rfam family "Bacterial small subunit ribosomal RNA", at positions 526 to 779 of the family's 1533-position model. The record is from RNAcentral.
CGUAGGGGCAAGCGUUAUCCGGAUUUACUGGGUGUAAAGGGAGCGUAGACGGACGGGCAAGUCUGAAGUGAAAGGCAGGGGCUCAACCCCUGGACUGCUUUGGAAACUGUCCAUCUAGAGUGCCGGAGAGGUAAGCGGAAUUCCUAGUGUAGCGGUGAAAUGCGUAGAUAUUAGGAGGAACACCAGUGGCGAAGGCGGCUUACUGGACGGUAACUGACGUUGAGGCUCGAAAGCGUGGGGAGCAAACAGGAUU